GGAUUGUGGCUCAGUGGUAGAUCGCUUGUCUAGUACGUGUGAGGCUCUGGGUUCGAUCCUCAGCACCA
This 68-nucleotide transfer RNA is filed under the name Marmota monax (woodchuck). Its description in RNAcentral is "tRNA.Thr". The record is from RNAcentral. Lineage: Eukaryota; Metazoa; Chordata; Mammalia; Rodentia; Sciuridae.